CACGCUCUGCCGUUCCUCCACACGCAAAUCGCAGCUCAAUGGCUCCACCUUCUCCGUCGCCACCCUUCUCUAGUUCUAUAUUUGUCAGCCCCACCGUUUGAUUAUCUCUUCAGCCCUUAAGUAUACUCAUCCAAAACCUUCUUCUCUCUCCUCAGAAACCCUCUUUCUCUCCAAAAAUCAAAACCUUCUCCUUCCCCCAAAAUCAAAAUCCAAAACUUAGGAUGAGAAAGAAGGAAGAGCCGAUCAGAUACGUUGGGAAAGGAUUGACCCAUCGUCUUUACCUCUCAGAGCUCACCUUACUCUCCAUCUGAUAAACCAAGGAGAGGAACCUGGUACAAUGAUGAAGAAGCCAGAAUUCUUGACGAUCUGCAAGGCUGACCAGCGGUCGCACUUCAAAUCCAAGGUUUAGAGGAAAAGAUGAGACUCAAAUAGGAAGAACAGAUCAUCCUACACCAUGAAAAAAAUGAGAAGGCAGUAAAAGGAAAAGAGGUAAAAGUCUAUGUUACAAAAAAUAUAUAACGAAAGCAGUUGAUAAUGAAGAAAUUAGCUUGAUGAAACAAAACAACUUUACAUCAGUGGGAUUUGGGUCUGAAUUUGAUGUGGUAGCUGUUCCUAAUUGGUAGAUUCUCAUUUUCUCCUUUUUCUUUAUCUUUAAUCUCCCAAAUGUGCAUACUCUG
This is a long non-coding RNA of Quercus lobata, 677 nucleotides long. RefSeq lists it as uncharacterized. The record is from RefSeq and is a predicted model, not a curated record. The transcript is spliced from 3 exons. Lineage: Eukaryota; Viridiplantae; Streptophyta; Magnoliopsida; Fagales; Fagaceae.